RNAcentral lists this ribosomal RNA (429 nucleotides) under Chloroflexota bacterium. RNAcentral describes it as "Chloroflexi bacterium partial 16S ribosomal RNA". It matches the Rfam family "Bacterial small subunit ribosomal RNA", at positions 355 to 776 of the family's 1533-position model. Lineage: Bacteria; Bacillati; Chloroflexota. The record is from RNAcentral.
UGGGGAAUAUUGCACAAUGGGCGCAAGCCUGAUGCAGCCAUGCCGCGUGUGUGAAGAAGGCCUUCGGGUUGUAAAGCACUUUCAGCGGGGAGGAAGGCGAUAAGGUUAAUAACCUCAUCGAUUGACGUUACCCGCAGAAGAAGCACCGGCUAACUCCGUGCCAGCAGCCGCGGUAAUACGGAGGGUGCAAGCGUUAAUCGGAAUUACUGGGCGUAAAGCGCACGCAGGCGGUCUGUCAAGUCGGAUGUGAAAUCCCCGGGCUCAACCUGGGAACUGCAUUCGAAACUGGCAGGCUAGAGUCUUGUAGAGGGGGGUAGAAUUCCAGGUGUAGCGGUGAAAUGCGUAGAGAUCUGGAGGAAUACCAGUGGCGAAGGCGGCCCCCUGGACAAAGACUGACGCUCAGGUGCGAAAGCGUGGGGAGCAAACAGG